UUACCAUGGCGACCUGUCAAUCAGGCUAGAAUGACUGGUAUCCACAGCACUGUGUAAAUUUAACAAGCGCUGUUGAAAAAGCAUAUUAAGAGUUGGCUGUUGACUUUCUCUGGUUAUGGAUGAUUUUGCUGAUUCAAGGAGAAAACAAGAUGCGGAUGGCGUAAUUCUCUGACCUCAGUGGCUGAUUAAUAACCUGCUAUGUACACCUCCUUGGAGUUUAGCUGAGGCUGACGAUUCACAGCACCUCCCUCUGGGCACUGAGCGGCCCAUGUACCCCCAUGAGCGAUAGCGCUGAGAGAGCCUGAAAUAUUGAUGGCCCCAGGCGAAGGCCACCUCCAGCACACUCUGCAGGGGGUUCAGGCCAGGGCUGCAGUCAGGUAGAGUCAGAGUGGGUGAUCUUUAGCGAGGAGGAUGGCUAUUCCACGGCAGAUGGAGGUGAGGUGUAGUGAAGCAAAUGAGGAGCAAUGAUGAGUGUGUGUAAAAAACAUGUUAUCCCAGCUGCCAGCUGGCUUCUUCACA
Micropterus dolomieu (smallmouth bass) is the source of this 519-nucleotide long non-coding RNA. RefSeq lists it as uncharacterized. The record is from RefSeq and is a predicted model, not a curated record. The transcript has 3 exons. Lineage: Eukaryota; Metazoa; Chordata; Actinopteri; Centrarchiformes; Centrarchidae.